This 429-nucleotide ribosomal RNA is filed under the name Actinomycetes bacterium. RNAcentral's name for it is "Actinobacteria bacterium partial 16S ribosomal RNA". It matches the Rfam family "Bacterial small subunit ribosomal RNA", at positions 355 to 776 of the family's 1533-position model. The record is from RNAcentral. Lineage: Bacteria; Bacillati; Actinomycetota; Actinomycetes.
UAGGGAAUCUUCCGCAAUGGGCGAAAGCCUGACGGAGCAACGCCGCGUGAGUGAUGAAGGUCUUCGGAUCGUAAAACUCUGUUAUUAGGGAAGAACAAAUGUGUAAGUAACUAUGCACGUCUUGACGGUACCUAAUCAGAAAGCCACGGCUAACUACGUGCCAGCAGCCGCGGUAAUACGUAGGUGGCAAGCGUUAUCCGGAAUUAUUGGGCGUAAAGCGCGCGUAGGCGGUUUUUUAAGUCUGAUGUGAAAGCCCACGGCUCAACCGGGGAGGGUCAUUGGAAACUGGAAAACUUGAGUGCAGAAGAGGAAAGUGGAAUUCCAUGUGUAGCGGUGAAAUGCGCAGAGAUAUGGAGGAACACCAGUGGCGAAGGCGACUGUCUGGUCUGUAACUGACGCUGAUGUGCGAAAGCGUGGGGAUCAAACAGG